GACCGCCGGACAGUUCGUGAGGUUUUGGCCCUCUCAAAAGCCAAUAACCCCAAGAUAGUCUUUCUCCAUGAGACUAGACAAGAUGCAACUAAAGUGGAGAAGUUGAAGUGGAGAUUGGGCCUAAAAUGCUUUCACGGUGUUAGUAGCGAUGGACGAAGUGGCGGUCUUGCACUGUUCUGGGAGGAGACGCUUACAGUGACAGUGCUCGAAUCAUGUAACAGAUUCAUUGAUGUUCGAGUUCUUGAUGGUGGUUCCGGUAUUUCAUGGAGAGGAACCUUUGUUUAUGGCGAACCGCGUGUGGAAAAUCAUCAGCGCAUGUGGGAUCAUCUAUGUCGUCUGCGGGCAGUCUCGCAAGAACCUUGGGUCAUGUGUGCUACCUCUUGA
RNAcentral lists this ribosomal RNA (384 nucleotides) under Triticum aestivum (bread wheat). Its description in RNAcentral is "partial small subunit ribosomal RNA". Lineage: Eukaryota; Viridiplantae; Streptophyta; Magnoliopsida; Poales; Poaceae. The record is from RNAcentral.